AACGAACGCUGGCGGCAGGCCUAACACAUGCAAGUCGAGCGCCCCGCAAGGGGAGCGGCGGACGGGUGAGUAACGCGUGGGAACGUACCCUUUCUACGGAAUAGCCUCGGGAAACUGGGAGUAAUACCGUAUAAGCCCUACGGGGGAAAGAUUUAUCGGGAAGGGAUCGGCCCGCGUUGGAUUAGGUAGUUGGUGGGGUAAUGGCCUACCAAGCCGACGAUCCAUAGCUGGUUUGAGAGGAUGAUCAGCCACACUGGGACUGAGACACGGCCCAGACUCCUACGGGAGGCAGCAGUGGGGAAUCUUAGACAAUGGGCGCAAGCCUGAUCUAGCCAUGCCGCGUGAGCGAUGAAGGCCUUAGGGUUGUAAAGCUCUUUCAGUGGGGAAGAUAAUGACGGUAGUGCGAGAAGAAGCUCCGGCUAACUUCGUGCCAGCAGCCGCGGUAAU
RNAcentral lists this ribosomal RNA (447 nucleotides) under uncultured bacterium. RNAcentral describes it as "bacterial SSU rRNA". It matches the Rfam family "Bacterial small subunit ribosomal RNA", at positions 29 to 524 of the family's 1533-position model. The record is from RNAcentral.